AACCCCCUAAUCUUUCUUUCUCUCUAGACUCUUUCUCUCUUCUUUCUAAAAAGCUGCUGCCUCCCAUCUCCGACUGUCGCCCAUCGCAUCUCCAAAUCUGGCGGACCAAGCUACCGCCUCACGAUGAACGGCCACCGCUCCAAGCGGCGGACCACGCCCUAAUCAACGCCGCCGACAAUAACACCAGCGCCGCCACGCGGCCAGUGACCAAACCCUACCAUAUCCAGCCACCGUCCAAUCAGAGAUCUCAUCCAGCCGCCACCUUUUAUGCCGUAGCCAUCGCAGAAUCAUGCUGGUGGAUCAACCAACCGCUCCAACCUGCCCUACAAGCCUCAGCCGCCACUUUUUUCUUCCCCUCCAGCGAACUAGCUCCAGUGCCGCUCCAACUUCGCCUCUCUUAACACUUUCGUCGAUGAAAUAAUCACCACAAUAACCGAUGCUGACUACCAAUGCUAUUCCCGAGAAAGUGCCCUCAAAAAUUUUCAAUACACGAUGGAUUCACGGAAUUUAUCUCGGGUUUGAUUUCGCGUUUAAGUUUUCAUUAAACAUUCUCAUCUUCUUUUGUCGUUCUUUUCUUUGAUUAUCGAAGUUGGAAUUAGCGAUAGUUGAUUUUAAUCUUAAUUUGACUCUUUUUGUGUUUUUAUCUGCAUUUUUUGAUCAACAUGUGUUAAAAAGCCUAACUUGCGUAUACUGUUAUAGCUUUUCUUAUUUUCAACUGCGAUCCGCCUCAAGUCAAGGAUUUUGGGCAAUUUUGACUUUUUUGUCUUUUGUCCUUUAGAAUUUCAAUCGUGAUAAAUGUCCUAAAUAUAUCUGAGUUGUUUGGUAUGAUUCUCACUGGUCACUUGAUUUAUGCGGGUAUAUUUCAACUGUUUUGAUAUAAUUUGAACUGAUUGCUCGAUCCUUGUAAAAUUUUUGGUGAUCUGUCUUAUUAAUUCUGAUAACAAUAAUUAGUUUGGACUAAUUGUUUGACAAGCUGCUUGAUUUUGUGAAUUUGAACUGGUGGAUUUUUAUUGAUAACAAUUAGUUACGAAUUUUCAGUGUGAUUUUUAUUAUGAUAAGGAUUCAUUUCAGUUUCCUAAGAUAUGUAUUUGUGUUAUCUUAUUUCAGAGAAUUUUUAGUUCAUUUUAUUGAUAUAUUAGUUAGUAGAUGCACUUUUCGUCAUUAACUUACAGGUUGUUAGAUUUGCCUAUUUUUUGACUUAGACUUCUUUUUGUGCUUUUUCUUCAAUGGUUUUGGUUUCUGUGUAAUAGUGAUCCAAAGUUUAUUGUUGUUCAAUGAAGUUUUGUUCUUUGCUGUGUACCUUUUUGUUUUCUUUAACUAUGUGGAUCAAUGGGUGCUGAAUUUAUUCGAAAAGUUUUUUUUUUGGUUUUUGAGAUGUUUUACUGUAAGAACUGAGGACCUUUAUUUUGGAUUUUUCACUUGGUAACUAGCUAUAAAGUCUUGAUCUUUUUUUUAUUUUUCUCAUUUUUGUGUUUUUGCUGCAAUGGUUUGUGUUUUUGUUUUGUAUUGAUCCAAGGUUUGUUGUCUCAGUUUCUUUUUAUUUGAUAAAGUUUUCAUCUUUUUGUGUGUGCCCAUUUAUUUUAUUUAUCUUUGUGGAUGAAUGAGUGUGAUUUUAUUUGCAAAGGGUCCGUUUGUGUUUCACUAGAUAUGUAUUUUGUGAUUCUUGUUUCAGAGAAUUUAGUUCAUUUUCUUAAUCUGUUUAUUCUAUUUUGAGCAAUAGACAAGAUUACUUUUAAUUAGAGGUUAUGAGUUUAAGAUUGAAAAUAUAAGAAUGUUUUUGUGUGUAUAAUUGAUUUUAUUCUUAGUGCUUCUUCUGCUAUAACUCUCACUUUUACGAACCUGAAAACAUGGAUUUCCUUGGUUUAUUAGGAGGUUUACUUGAUGUGCUAAUUUUUUCUUAUGCUGUUGGCUUUUUGUACUUCUCUGUACUAUCUCAGUUUUCAAAAUAAAAUAAAAUUUGACCUUGCCCAAAAAAAGUAUUGUUGAACCUGAAUGUUUUUGAUGUGUGACUGCUUGAUGCUUUGGCCGAGGAGCAUUUAGAACUGCUUGACCCAUAAUGAACUCCAAUGCUUAAUUCAACCUGAUUGUUCUUUCUAAACACAAAAUGCUACUACACUUAUUUAACAGGAUGAAAAUAGAUGAGUUGCCUUGAAGGAAAACAUUUAGAUUCCCUUUUGAUGAGAUAAUGGCUAAGCAUAUGUGUUAGUUUGGAUGUGCUUCAACAAUAUGAAUGAAACAUGAAACUUCACUUGAGUGAAAGAAAGCAAAUUAAUAGAUGAAUGCCCAUUUGCUUGAGCAAUUUUUGUGCGUGAAAUACUGAAGGUUUAUUUAGUAAUUUAUGUUGUUUUUAUUUUAACUAUCAAAUCUGAAAGCAUCAUCAUCAAUCUUAAUUUUCUUCUCUUUUCCACAGGUGUAAAAGUGAUUUGAAUGAAGACUAAUUGCAAGCUCAACACGUUAUUGGUAUUUUGAAAGAAACCUCUACAUAUCUGCCGUAGUUUAGGAUAGGAGUAAUAUUUAGUAUUAUAUUUAAGUUAGAUUUACUUUAUGUUGGACUUGUUUUACUUUUCUUUGCCCUGUGAGGAGAUAUUACCUUAGUAUAAUUUUAGUUUUUUUAAUUGUAUGAGUGUGGGUGAAUUUUAU
This 2640-nucleotide long non-coding RNA is filed under the name Capsicum annuum. RNAcentral describes it as "long non-coding RNA (CANN_LNC008669)". Lineage: Eukaryota; Viridiplantae; Streptophyta; Magnoliopsida; Solanales; Solanaceae. The record is from RNAcentral.